Molecule: non-coding RNA, 380 nt
Organism: Labrus bergylta (ballan wrasse)
Lineage: Eukaryota; Metazoa; Chordata; Actinopteri; Labriformes; Labridae
Source: RefSeq, a predicted model, not a curated record
GACGACUAUACCAACUGAGCCACAGCUGCCAUGUUGUUAUGUGUUUUUCAGUCAUCAUUCAGACGUAGAGGAUUACGAGCAGACCCUGAAGGCAGCAUCGGUCAGCAGCUCUAAAGACUUUGGGGGCGGGUCCUCCAGCUCUCAGCCUGUCAUUAGGUUGACUGAAAGUUAGACUGAGACAGGAUAUCCAACAUGGCGGCUGCUGCCGAUGAGCCUCCAGAGCCCCCUGCAGGAACAGAUGGGUGACGUCACUCUGCACAGAGCUGCAUGGUAGCACAUCACUUAGGGUAGCACUAUUUGAUAGCAUGCCAACAUAACUUUAAAUAUGUUUGUUUUUCUUUUUUGUAUAUUUCUCUCUUUAAUAAAAAAUAAUGAAUGAA